Molecule: ribosomal RNA, 459 nt
Filed under: Triticum aestivum (bread wheat)
Lineage: Eukaryota; Viridiplantae; Streptophyta; Magnoliopsida; Poales; Poaceae
Description: partial small subunit ribosomal RNA
Source: RNAcentral
AUGCACACUCGUCCUACUACAUCACUUCUACUGUUAGCGAGUAGCUCAUGGUUCCUCCUCUGCCCUCUCUUCCUCGCUCCUGUGGGCGCCGAUCAGCGGGCCUCGUACAUUAUCCACAUGGACAAGUCCGCCAUGCCGCCGCAGCUCUCCGGCCACCGUGACUGGUACUCCACCGUGCUGUCGUCUCUAGCAGCGGCAGCCGACUCACCGGACGGCGCCCGUGGCGAGCAGCCACGGCUUGUCUACGCCUACGACGAGGCGCUCCACGGCUUCGCGGCCACCCUCUCGUCCUCGGAGCUCCGCGCGCUGAGCCACUCGCCGGGCUUCGUCUCGGCAUACCCGAUCGCUGCGCCGACGCCUCUCACGACACCACGCACUCCACGGAGUUCCUCCACCUCAGCCCGUUCGGUGGGCUGUGGCCGGCGGCCAAACUCGGCGAGGGCAUCAUCAUCGGUGUGA